This is a non-coding RNA of Necator americanus (New World hookworm), 46 nucleotides long. The record is from Rfam. Lineage: Eukaryota; Metazoa; Nematoda; Chromadorea; Rhabditida; Ancylostomatidae.
CCAACGGCCCUCUUCAGGGCCACCAGCUUGCGAGUACAAAUCGAAA